UUAACCCGUGUUGGGCAGCCGUAGCGAAAGCGAGUCUGAAUGGGGCGAUUCAGUCGCAUGUCCUAGACCCGAAGCGAAGUGAUCUAUCCAUGGCCAGGUUGAAGCGACGGUAAGACGUCGUGGAGGACCGAACCCACUUCAGUUGAAAAUGGAGGGGAUGAGCUGUGGAUAGGGGUGAAAGGCCAAUCAAACUUCGUGAUAGCUGGUUCUCUCCGAAAUGCAUUUAGGUGCAGCGUUGCGUGUUUCUCGCCGGAGGUAGAGCUACUGGAUGGCCGAUGGGCCUCAACAGGUUACUGACGUCAGCCAAACUCCGAAUGCCGGUGAGUGAGAGCGCAGCAGUGAGACGGUGGGGGAUAAGCUUCAUCGUCGAGAGGGAAACAACCCAGACU
Molecule: ribosomal RNA, 389 nt
Filed under: Bacillus wiedmannii
Lineage: Bacteria; Bacillati; Bacillota; Bacilli; Caryophanales; Bacillaceae
Description: bacterial LSU rRNA
Rfam family: Bacterial large subunit ribosomal RNA
Source: RNAcentral